AACAUAAUUUGAAUUACGGUAAAUUUAUAAGCAACUAUCUUUGGUUCUGUUGUACUUUCGCCGCAAAGAAACACAAUGGACGCAUUCGUCGAUCACUACACGGUGCUAGGGUUACCUUCCGGCGAAGAAGCUGCAAACCUAACCGAUAAAGACAUCAACAAGGCUUACAAAUUCAAGGCUCUUGAACUCCACCCCGACAAAAGACCCGACGACCCCAACGCCGCCUCCAAUUUCCAACAACUUCGUACCUCCUACGACAUCCUCAAAGAUGAAAAGGCUCGAAAGUUAUUCGACGACCUUCUCCGCGUCAAGCGCGAUAACCAGCGCCGUCAAUCUCAGCGCGACGGAAAACGCCGCAAAAUGGUUUCCGAUCUCGAAAAGAGAGAGCGCGAAGCUUUUUCCGUCGAUCCUGCUGCGAAGGGGAAGGAAGAGGAGGAGAGGAUUGCGAAACAGUUAAAGGAUGAGAUUGCGAGGAUUCGUGCUAUGCACGCUAAGAAAGUGGUGCCGGAUUUGGGUGGAAUGAGAGAGAGCGUUGGUUCCGGCGGUGGUGGCGGUGGAGUUGAUCAAGAGAAGGUUUUGAAAGUUUCGUGGGAGAAGGUUGGUGAAGAUUAUUCAGCGGAUAAGUUGAGGGAAUUGUUUUCAAAGUUUGGUGAAGUUGAAGAUGUUGUUAUCAAAGGGAGUAAGAAAAAGGGUUCUGCACUUGUUGUUAUGGCAACUAAACAAGGAGCUCUUGCUACAACUGGAAGUAUGAUUGGUCAUCUUGCUAAUCCAUUGUUGGUUUUACCUCUUAAACCGGCAAUGGCGGCAGAUUCUUCAAGUGCUCCAAAGUCUGUGGAACCUGAUAGGCUUAAUAAACUAGUUGGGGCUGGUUAUCAAGCUUUUGAGGAUUCUGUUCUUAUGAAACUGCAAAAGGCUGCAGCAAAACAAAGAUGAUGGUAAAAGAUGUCAAACACUAUUAUUGAUUAUAUGGAAUGGUUAUCCCCGGAUCUUAAUUCUUAGGGGUCUGAAACUUGUGGUGACAUGAUUCAAGGAAGCAUCCUUUUGAUGAAAACCAUAAACUGGAAGUUGAAGGAGGUGUGCGGUUUUAGUGCAGCCUUGGGUCCAUGAGAAAUGUUCUUGGUCUGCGAAAAGAGAAAACAAAUGGUAGCAGAUGCAAAGUCAGAGAUCAAUGGUUCCUAUGAUUGCGUAAAAAUUUGAGUGUUAGUGUCAAUAUACAAGUCACGUGCUCUGGCUCAGCUUGGAAUUCCUUCUGCUAUCUGUAUACAACACUAAAAUGGGAGUCCGACACACUUAGUAGAUCAAGUCUAAUUAAUAACCUUUUGGGAAAUUUGAGAUCCAUCUAAGCUUACUCCGAACCCAAUGGACGAUAUCAGGCAGACUUGGAAUUGUUUGCAAUAAACAAUAUAGGGUUAUAUGCGGUCAAGUAUCCAAACUGGAGAAUAAUCAUGUUCAGUGAUUGUUUUAACUUUGCUGUAUGCUUAUUGAUUUGUGCUAUAUUAUUAAUUGAUUGUGCACGUGCCAAAUAGUCUGCGAAGAGUGAAAGAUAUAUAUAGCUAAAAGAUUACACAAACCAGUAAAAGGGAGAAUGUAUUGAUCAAAGUGCACAAACAGUUAAACUUCAUUCGACCUGUGUAUCUAAGAGAGUAUGGGACCUCUGGAGUUCUGGUAGGUCUUCUUUCCUGAGAGUUGAUAUUGACAUGUAACCAGAAACGGACAUUGUAAUCCUUGUCUAAAGUCUUGAUGAAAGAGAACUUGAGAAUUGUUAAUCCACUGAAAGUCUAGUCCAUCAACGUGGAAAGCAUUAUUAUCCAUUAAAAACUAGUAUGUAGAAAUGGUUUUGGAAUUCUUAAUAAGAACAGCUUCUGAAUGAAUUCAGUAUAAUAAUUUAUUACUGUCAAUAGAUA
RNA transcript from Cicer arietinum (chickpea), 1904 nucleotides. RefSeq lists it as uncharacterized. NCBI's taxonomy places the organism in Eukaryota, Viridiplantae, Streptophyta, Magnoliopsida, Fabales, Fabaceae. The record is from RefSeq and is a predicted model, not a curated record.